UAGCUUUUAUGGAGCAGCUACAAGGUUGUCUAGUCCUAAUGGUUAUUUGUUCUGGCUCUUCUUGCCCUGUCUCUCCCCAUUACUAAUUUACAAGAAGGCAUGGGAUUCACUUGCCAGCACACAAGUAAAAAGCUAGUCCGCAGAGACCUCACAGACCAGCUAUUCUGUUCUAAAAGAGGAUGUGCAGAAGCUAGGCACAUCAAGAUGAAUUAAGAGAUUUAAAGCCUCUGCCUGGUUAAGCCCUGUAUGCUCAUUCAUCCUCCCAAUCUGUAAUGGCAGGAUGCUGGCCAGAUAGAACAAUAUACAACUUAUGCUAACCUAUUGCUGUGUUUUAAAAGACAUUUUUAUAUGAUUUCUUUUUUAACCCUUGAAAAUUGAGCAAUGAAGGGUUAAGAGAACACAGAUUCCAGACAUAAUCACAACACUUUCUUCUCACAAUGGUAUAAAUUGUAUUCUGUGUCUAUUUUCAAUUUGCAAAACAAACACAGGAUAUCCUGGAAAAAUCAAUAUUUUCUCAGUGAUUGUGGUUGUCCUCAGCUUGCCUCCAGGUCUUUUGCAGCUUUUCUUUACAGUCCUUGACUUUCUGAUUUGGGGACCUGAACUACACCCUCCACCAGAGGAAUCUGAGUCUGUGUUCUGCUAUUCCUUGCACUUACUUGCUGCUUGAAAGAAAUCCAGUUGUGCAGUUAGGCCCAGAUCCAGGAAAACACAUAAGCACGUGAUUUACAUAUAUGAAUAGUACCAUUGUGAAGGGUGCAGGCUCUUUCCCAAUAUUUGCCAUUAGUCUUUUCAUUGCUAUUGCUUCUUUGUUCCCUGUUACUGCAUGUAACAUUUAUGUUUGUUCCAAGAUUUUCCUGUAAAUUCAAAGUGGGGUCUAGGCUCUCCAGGACUGAGAGGAGAGGACUCUCAGAACAGCUGAGACAUAAACCAUACACACAACUGUGUUUAAAAUGAAAUGUCAGAAAGUUCUCAGCACUGCUUUUCAUCUCAACCAAUCAAGAUGUAUCAGAACAACUGUUGGCUGGCUUGUUUGUUCAGCCUGAACCUUUACGAAGAUCAUCCUGGUAGCUCAUUUCGUUAGAGAAAUAUCACUGCAGAAGCAGUUUAGAAAGUGUAUGAGCUACAACACAGUUGCAAUGUUAA
This 1143-nucleotide long non-coding RNA is filed under the name Calidris pygmaea (Spoon-billed sandpiper). Its description in RNAcentral is "lncRNA (ENSCPGG00000013878.1)". The record is from RNAcentral. Lineage: Eukaryota; Metazoa; Chordata; Aves; Charadriiformes; Scolopacidae.